RNAcentral lists this unclassified non-coding RNA (405 nucleotides) under Hevea brasiliensis (rubber tree). Lineage: Eukaryota; Viridiplantae; Streptophyta; Magnoliopsida; Malpighiales; Euphorbiaceae. The record is from RNAcentral.
GAGAAAGAUGACAAAAUGUCAGACUGUGUUGCAGAGAAGAAAGAUAAAACUUCUGAUGUUGAUGCUGUGAAAAGUGAUGACCCAACUGAAGAUGGAAAAGCAGAAGAUGCUCCUGCUGAUGUGUCUGCGGCUGACAAAAAUGUUGGAGAUGCUUUCAUGGUGAAAGAGGUGCCAAUUGGGAAAGCAGCGGAUGAAGCUGAAGCAACUGAUAACGGUGUCAACACCGAUGAGAUUAACCCUUGAAUAGUGACAUGGAGCCAUUCUCUGCUACCCUCGUACCCUGCUCUCUUAUUCUCUCUAACCUCUUACCCUUGUUACUUUUCUCUAGUGACUGUAGUGUUGUUGUCAAUGGUAGUACUCUCAGACUGUUCAUGAGAUAUCUGUAUGUAAUAUUGUAGAUAUAGG